RNAcentral lists this transfer RNA (64 nucleotides) under Taenia twitchelli. RNAcentral's name for it is "tRNA-Lys". The record is from RNAcentral. Lineage: Eukaryota; Metazoa; Platyhelminthes; Cestoda; Cyclophyllidea; Taeniidae.
AUUCAUGUAUUCUAAUUGUAAGAGCUGAAUUCUUACUUCAGUAAUGUGUAUAACACCAUGGGUU